This 301-nucleotide ribosomal RNA is filed under the name uncultured bacterium. RNAcentral's name for it is "partial 16S ribosomal RNA". It matches the Rfam family "Bacterial small subunit ribosomal RNA", at positions 509 to 808 of the family's 1533-position model. The record is from RNAcentral.
CAGUAGCCGCGGUAAUACGUAGGUCCCGAGCGUUGUCCGGAUUUAUUGGGCGUAAAGCGAGCGCAGGCGGUUAGAUAAGUCUGAAGUGAAAGGCAGUGGCUCAACCAUUAUAGGCUUUGGAAACUGUUUAACUUGAGUGCAGAAGGGGAGAGUGGAAUUCCAUGUGUAGCGGUGAAAUGCGUAGAUAUAUGGAGGAACACCGAUGGCGAAAGCGGCUCUCUGGCUUGUAACUGACGCUGAGGCUCGAAAGCGUGGGGAGCAAACAGGAUUAGAUACCCCCGUAGUCCCUGUCUCUUAUACA